CCAGGUGGAAGUCUGAUGAAUCUCGCUGGGGCCUCCAGAAAUGUGACUCACACAGCUGAGAAAGAGCCUUAGACCCCACUUAAUGCAAUAAUCAAUAGAAAUUUAUU
Molecule: microRNA precursor, 107 nt
Filed under: Otolemur garnettii (small-eared galago)
Lineage: Eukaryota; Metazoa; Chordata; Mammalia; Primates; Galagidae
Description: miRNA (ENSOGAG00000021077.1)
Source: RNAcentral